ACAAACUUGGUCAUUUAGAGGAAGUAAAAGUCGUAACAAGGUUUCCGUAGGUGAACCUGCGGAAGGAUCAUUACAGUGCCUGUAGGGCCCACUGCCCUACACUCUGGCCACCCGUGUUUACUUGACCUUUUGUUGCUUUGGCGGGCCCGCCUCCCCGGGGGCCGCUGGGGGCGCGUACCUACGAUCGUGGGUACGCACCCCUGGCCCGCGCCCGCCAAGGGACCUCUAGAACUUCUGUGAAAUAGUGCUGUCUGAGCUUGAUUUGAAUGACACAAAACUUUCAACAACGGAUCUCUUGGUUCCAGCAUCGAUGAAGAACGCAGC
This 324-nucleotide unclassified non-coding RNA is filed under the name uncultured fungus. RNAcentral describes it as "partial contains small subunit ribosomal RNA, internal transcribed spacer 1, and 5.8S ribosomal RNA". The stretch from base 1 to 73 matches the Rfam family "Eukaryotic small subunit ribosomal RNA", at positions 1759 to 1831 of the family's 1831-position model. Lineage: Eukaryota; Fungi. The record is from RNAcentral.